ACGCCACACACACACACAUCCACACAUGUAGACGCAGUCCCCCCCUCCUGGCCCAGCCACAUCCUUUGCUCCGGCUCAGGAGACUGAGAGAAGGACAAGCCAUCUGUAGACACAGUGCUCACAACUAGGAAGACCUUCCUGCCCCAGAGCUGCCUCUGUCUUUCCAGAAAAACAGGAGAUCUUUUCCUAUUAAGGCAAAGAGACAGCGUCUUGCUAUCUUGUCCAGGCUGGUCUCAAAAUCCUGGGCUCAAGCAAUGCUCCUCCUUUGACCUCUCAAAAUGCUGGGAUUACAGGUGUGUGCAUUGUGCUGGCCAACAGAGUUUAAUUGAACAAGAAAAAAAAAAGAUUCAUGAAUUGGGCAGCCCCCGGAAUCACAGCAGAUUCAGAGAGGCUCCAGGGAUGCCUGGUGGUCAGAGCAAGUUUAUGGACCGAAAAAGGAAAGUGAUUUACAGAAAACGGAAGUGAGAGACUACAUUGAGGAGUAUGACAAGUUUUCAGCUUGAGAAGGGCUUGCAUUCUGUAGGAGAAAUGAACAAACAGCAUAUUAGGUGAUGAUGCAACAUGGAACAAGUGCUAUGACAGAGAUUAAAAAACAAGUGCUUGUUCAUUUACUGGAAAGACAAAAGGCUGAUUCAGCCGGAAAGAAAAAUCCCUGAGAAGAUGGUAUGGACUAAACAAAUAAAUGGGAUUUUAACAAAUAAAGAAUAAAAAUUAUUUUAUUUUAUAAAGGGAGGCAGAAUAUGAUCUGGAUGUGAGUAAGGGUUGCAGGAGGUGAGGGAGGGAGUGUAUAGAUAUCUGGGGUAAAAGCAUUUCUGGCUGAGAAGACAGCAAGUGCAAAUGCCCUGAGACAGGAUCAGGGCUUUUGAGGAAUCACAAAAAAACCCAAUGAUCUUGGAGUAGAAUGUGCAAGCCAAAGUGGGUCCAAGACGAGAUCAGAGUGAUAGGAAGGGGAGGGGCCAGAAUAUGUAGAGCCUGGGAUGUCAUUGAAAGAACCUGGGUUUUUACUCUGAGCAAAAUAUGAAGUCAUUAGAACUUUUGGAACUAAAAAGGAGCAGAGCUGUCUCUCUCACUGCUGUGUUGAGAAUAGAAUGAAAGGAUCAAGGACAUAAGUCAAAAGACCGGUCGGGAGACUAUGGCAGUAUUCCAGGUAAAACAUGAUGUGUCUCAGACGAGGGUGGUGGCAAAACUAGUGGGAUUCUUAAAUUUUGGAGGUGGGAUCAAUAAAAAUGUGUGAUGGAUUGGAAGCAUAAGAGAAAGGGCACCCAGGAAUGACCUCAAGUUCUUGGCCUUAGCAACUGGAGAAAGGAGGUUGCCAAUAGUAACUGAGAACCUGAAGCUUGGAGGAGGAGUGAUAUAGGGGAUGAGCAGGAGCUCAGCUACAGACAUGCUAAAUUUGAGAUAUGUUUCAGUCAUUGUUUGGUGAUAUCAGGUUGGCAAUUGGAUGUACUGGUCUAGAGUCCAGGGUGGGGUCUGGGCUGCAAAUGUGUACUUGGACAUCAUCACUUUUUGGCAAGAUGGCUUUAGAGCAUAAUAAUAUACAUUUAGUUGAUUGUAGAAGGAAGAUAGAAUUGUGAUGCCAAAGUUUGUGGCUUGCUCCACCAUGGUGAAUUGCUUUCUAAAUGAUUUUAAUGUUCUCUGUGUUGUAAUGAUGUGUAAUGUUUAUUGGAAUUUCACAUUUGACUGUUAACUUACUGAAAGUGGUAAAACAUUUUUACUCUAAAAAUAAAAAAUUAAAACAAUCACA
Symphalangus syndactylus (siamang) is the source of this 1744-nucleotide long non-coding RNA. RefSeq lists it as uncharacterized. The record is from RefSeq and is a predicted model, not a curated record. NCBI's taxonomy places the organism in Eukaryota, Metazoa, Chordata, Mammalia, Primates, Hylobatidae.